Molecule: long non-coding RNA, 1874 nt
Organism: Hyaena hyaena (striped hyena)
Lineage: Eukaryota; Metazoa; Chordata; Mammalia; Carnivora; Hyaenidae
Exons: 3
Source: RefSeq, a predicted model, not a curated record
GAAAGCAAGAGAAGAGAAAGAGGAUAGGAAAAAAACAACAGUCUAGAAGGAUGAAGGAGAGAGGGAUGCAGUCCACAUGUCUGUCUGUGUUCACCAGGAACUUAGCCCUUUGCUCCACUACCUGGUGCCGUCUUGCUGACCCUGGACACUUACCUGGCUUGGCCGUGGGCCUCUGCCUCUGAAUGUAACUCAAGUUCCAGAAUCAAGACUCAAUUCUUUCUCCCACCAAGAUUAAGUGCUUCCUUCUUCUUUUUUCUUGCUAAAAUUUAAUAAAUGUUUUCACCAUUAAGUGCUAAGAGGUUACAGUCCCAGUUCUUGAGACAGGAAUGGAAGGAAGAUAAAACUACAGAAUCUGUCAAUAUGGACUUUUAUAAGCAUAUAGAAAGCAUGACCUGAAAAACCAGGCAGGCGUCAUUGAAGCCCAGUCAAUCCCCUCUGGAACUCCAAGCACUACAGUUCAUCCACUAUCUCCACUUCCAGGACCAUCCAGUAUGACUGGCCUGUUUUCACAAAGAACAUGACCAUCUCAGGAGAACUGCCUUUUCUGCCUCACAACUCCUGCUUUCCUCCCUGGACCACACAUUUUCUCCCCAGAUAAGAAAACACAGAGACCUAGCCAUAAGAACAAAAUAACAGCGAUUCAAUAAACAAUCCUUGCACAAACAACCAAAGAUGGAACAUGAGGCACCAAUGAGUAGCUGAAGUGGAAUAAAAUGAGGGGCAGCAUGGGCCUUUCUUUGUACCACAUCCCUCCCCCAAAGAAAGAGGAAUGACCACAUGUAUCCAGACAAAAGGACAAAAGAACUCCAUGGGGAAGGGCCUCAAUUUAGUCUUGGAAAGAACAAAGUUUUUGACUGUGGAAAAGGCAGGCUUAAAUAUGAAUUCUACCAUUUGCCACCUCUGUGAUGUUGUGUAAAGUGAUGUCUACCCUAUGUCUUCGAGUUUAACCUGUAAAAUGGGGCAGAAAUGACGUCUGGCAAAAUAUUCAUGAAGAGUAAGUGAGUCCCCUCUCUGUUUGACUCCUCCCCCAAAUGUACUACAUUACUUUCUAAGAGGCUGGCAAAAGGGCAGGAAAUGGCAGAAAGGCCAGAAGAAACAUCCUAAAAGUCCAAAAAGUUUAUCCUCUCCAGCCCAUGUCUUAUUAAGUCCCACAUGCCAGAUCAAGCAAGAGCAAAUGAGAGGCCACUGCUCCUACUUCCUCCCCUCUCCCCAUAGCCCUGAAGGUGGUCCACUCAAAUGCAGAGUCAUGGUUAAACCCUAAAGCCUUGUAGUCAGUCAUACCUGGGUUUGGAUCUCAACUUCAUCUCAAACACAGUCAGUGAGUCUACUGAUAUGGAAACCAGGAAUAGCCCUACUUAUGACAAGAGUCAUCAUAAGAAAAAAAAAUGAGAUGACACACAAAAGGUGUAGUCCAGUGUCUGACCACAAUAGUGGCCCUCCUAUUAUUUUUAUUGUUAUCAUCCUCUGAAGACUUGCUAAGCAACCUUUCAGUAAGUGUAUCAGUUACUGAAACUUUGCCUUUUCCUUCUUGUUCGGUCGGUUUUAUUCUCAAUCUUUUUAGCCUCUUCCUGAUUCUGUCCAAUCAUGUCUGGCUUCCAUUAAUUCACUAAUUUAAAAUCCUAAUAAUUAUCAGUCAUUCCAAAGCAGCUCCAAGGUACAAGAGUUCGCCAACAACAGAGAGCUGCUUCCACGGAGCUCCAGUGUGCCUCCUGCCCGAUGUUUGCAAAGCCAAGUGCGCACAGGACAUAUGCUUAUAAACAGCCCCGUCUUCACCCAGGAUACCAUCUUUUAUUAUUAUUACCCUCUUUUUUCCUUGUCAAGGCUGACAAGUUGUACCAGGUAUUUCCUUCUUACUUAGAUACCAAAAUAAAGUC